Molecule: non-coding RNA, 149 nt
Organism: Caenorhabditis elegans
Lineage: Eukaryota; Metazoa; Nematoda; Chromadorea; Rhabditida; Rhabditidae
Source: Ensembl
ACAACAACUGGUGUAAUAAUUACCAGGUGUAAUUAUUGCCGCUCUGAAGUUUUUGGGGAUGCGGCGGUCCAAUAAGGGGUACUGUACGCUAGGUCACGCCUGUUUCAUGGUUCUGAAACUUUGAAGUUAUCGUUUUUAAUAUAAUCUGA